Molecule: non-coding RNA, 2784 nt
Organism: Equus caballus (horse)
Lineage: Eukaryota; Metazoa; Chordata; Mammalia; Perissodactyla; Equidae
Source: RefSeq, a predicted model, not a curated record
UCGAACCGACGAAACACUGGGCCUCCUGCAGCGGAGCGCGCGAACUUAACCACUCGGCCACGGGGCCAGCCCCUACAGUGCUUUUUAUAUGCUAGGCACUCUUCUAAGAUCCCUGCAGGCUUUAACUCUCGUUUCCUUCCUGAAGUAACACAUGAGCAAUUGGUAAAGAAAAAAUUUCAGCACACAAAAGGUUAAGCUCCAGCGGUUUGGAAGUUUUAUUCUUUCGUCUCACUUGGCAAAUGCACAUUCAUAUGACAAGAUUCAGCCUGAGCAUCACCGUCUUUAUGAACCUUUCCUUGGCCCCAGGUCUUUUCUUCCAAAGUUAAGCUCUCCUUCCUCUGGGCUCCCCUAUACCCUUAGGAUGCUGCCAUUAAAGUAUUUACCACUUUGUACUGAAUCUUUUUUUUUCUCAACUUGAAUCCUUCCUGAAGAUGGAGACUAGCGUUUGCUAAUUGAAUGAAUGAAGAAAAAAGGUUUUCCUCAUUUUACUGACAUUUGACAAAUAAGGUGUUAGCAUAGACAGCACACUUCCUGCUCUCUCCGAGCUUCCAGUGCAGCUGCAGGGACCACCACAGAAGGGCCACCUUCCCCCACACGCAGAACCUUGGAGUACGGUGUGUUGCCACAGGUCAAUCAGCCACAGCCGCUCCUCAUAGCAAGAGCCGAGCUUAGGGCCUCAUUGCCUCUGCCUCAUCCCGUGUCCAGGGAGGAAGUGAGGGGUGCUCCCACGAUGCCUGUAGGGGGACAUCCACGCGCUCCCCCAAAGCUGGAGCCCAGACAACAUAGACACCAGGUGCUGACACUGGAAAUCCGGGAAUUCCUUUAAUAUUCAAGAUCUCGGUUUCUUCUCUUUGAUGUAACGGGAUCUAGGAAUGCUCAGAACACCCCCUGAAACCCCUGUUUCCUAAAGACCUGUUUAUAUUAGUCCUUGCUCUGUGUUUAUUUGGGAGUAAAAUCCACGUUUGGAAUCCUCGCAGCAUAUGGUGAGUGUUUGCUGUACGGGGUGGGGUACCUGUUUCUGCAUCAUGUGACGAAAGUGCAGCAGCUGUAAUAUCUCAUUACAGGGCUUCACUUUAUUUAAUUAAAAAAAUAGCACUGCUCUACUUAACAAUAUUAUCCUCGUCCCCCACCCACCCGCAAAACCUGAUCUGCAGUUUCGAUGCCUCUGCCGUAAUCGCUUCGGACGGUCUGCACGUGACGUGGGUGAGCUCGAGGAUCGGCUUUCCAUCUCGUUGCUUCAGACGGUGCUUUCACUGUGAGCCAUUAGUCACCAGAUGCUGACAAGUGUUUGUACGGAUGCCAUCUCCCCCUUUGUUUAUAUGCAAGUGCAGCAACCGAAAUGAUUUAUUUAUGCCUUAAUUAAAAUUUGUGGAUAGACCAGUGAGUUUUAGCAGUGACUUUUCUAAUUUGUGGGUUCCAGAAAGAAAAAAAUCAAUAACCUGAUACCAUUUAUGUUUUUAUAGUUACCCAGGCAUUUAUAAUGCAGACCUGCCACUCACCUGCAGCCUCCCUUGGAGGAGAGUGGUCCUCGCCACAUAAAUCUCCCCCAGAGGCCGAGAGGGUCCAUAUUUCAGAGUCACUUCCCUUCUGUGUCAGCUGCGAGUGAGAUGUUACAUGCUUUCCAUUCUCAUGGUUCUCAUGGCAAGGCACAGGCUAAAAUUCACAUUGAAAGUAAAUUGAUGGACUGUAAGUUUUAUAAUACCUGACCCAAUCUGUAAUGACUGCUUAGAAUUUUAAUAAUUUAAGCCCAAUGAAUGUGAUUCCUGCAUAUCGCUCUCCACAUUGAGAAUGUACCCCAUAGGGUCUUUGGAAAGAACUUACCCCAAAUGCCGAGCUUUUAUGGGAACUUAAUAUAUUCGACAUUGCAGGUGCAUAAAUCUCCAUGAAAUUGCACCAAGUUAACGUAUUUACUGGUGCAUGCAAUUUAGUAACUACUUUGUAAAAGUCUAAAUAAAGAUAGAUAAGACAGGUAGAUAUGGAGAAAUAAUGAGUAAAUGUUCCAAUGUAUAUUAACAAGAUGAGUUAAUUGCCUUCGCAAGGCUAUCAGCCUCACUGGAAAAGAAUUAAUUAAUUUUCAAGGUGUUUGGGAUGGUUUUAAUUGCUGUUUCUCAAAGUCUGGGGGAAAUGAGCUGUUUUUGCAUUUUCUGCCAAACUCAAGUUAUUCUCUCCCCAAUAGUCAGAGCUGGGGGGUGCGAGGGGAGUGAUGACAAGCUGGGUGGAAAGAGAGAUGCUCAGUUUUGCUCGCCUCUCCCCCCGCCCCCCGGAGAUAAAGGCACAAGUAGCGAGGAAAAGCUCAUUUUAUUCAGAAAAUCCUCUUAAGAAGGACCCCGCUUGAGUUCCUGCAGCCUCCUCUUCUUCAGAAUACGAAUCUUCCGAAUCUUCCGCAGUCCAUGCUCACACUCAUGCGCACGUGUUUGACUUUUCCCCUUCUCUCCUGCCUCCCCCUUCCCUUAGUUUUUGCAGUUCAGCUCUGGCAACAUUCGAGUCAAGUGUCAGGCAGCACGUUGGAAACAUCUGGCCAUUCUACAAGAAGACUCCCUCCCCCGCCCCCAGCUUACCUUUGGAGGACAGAGUUUGUGUCCUUUCCUGGGGGCAGAUUUUUAAGUUCGUGGAGAUAACAUUUCAUUUCUUGGGAACUAUCUAACUCAAAUAUAAAUGUGAUUUUAAGCAGCAGCACCCUGUCUUCAGAUAAAAUCUUGUACAGAAGCUCAUUUCAUAAAUUGAGUGAGUAUGAAACUGCUGCUCUGCUGGAAAUGGUGGAUUUAAAAUAAAUGAUGAAAGAGA